UGAAGAAUACAGAGAGGAGCAAUACAAGAUAUUACUAAAAACUGGAAAUCCUGGUGCUUUUACUGCGAUUAAUUUUGUAGGCGAUCGAACUCUUCUAACAUACAGCACGAUACCCGCGCAUGUGGCUGCAUUCUACACCGUCUAUUUGGCACAAAACACCUCAGUCGCUAAUUUUAACAAAAUUAUACGUAGCUGGGCUUAUGAAGCGGGAAGAAAUGUUACGGUUAGCGUCGUUUAUGAAAAAAAUAGAGUUUAUGCUACAAAAGCCG
Papilio polytes (common Mormon) is the source of this 269-nucleotide long non-coding RNA. RefSeq lists it as uncharacterized. The transcript is spliced from 3 exons. NCBI's taxonomy places the organism in Eukaryota, Metazoa, Arthropoda, Insecta, Lepidoptera, Papilionidae. The record is from RefSeq and is a predicted model, not a curated record.